RNAcentral lists this ribosomal RNA (602 nucleotides) under Bacteroidetes bacterium AL33 9.1. Its description in RNAcentral is "bacterial SSU rRNA". It matches the Rfam family "Bacterial small subunit ribosomal RNA", at positions 90 to 690 of the family's 1533-position model. Lineage: Bacteria; Pseudomonadati; Bacteroidota. The record is from RNAcentral.
GGCGACCGGCAAACGGGUGCGGAACACGUACGCAACCUUCCUUCGAGUGGGGAAUAGCCCAGAGAAAUUUGGAUUAAUACCCCGUAAGAUCGUGGACUGGCAUCAGUCAGCGAUAAAAGCUCCGGCACUUGAAGAUGGGCGUGCGCCUGAUUAGGUAGUUGGUGAGGUAACGGCUCACCAAGCCGACGAUCAGUAACUGGCGUGAGAGCGCGACCAGUCACACGGGCACUGAGACACGGGCCCGACUCCUACGGGAGGCAGCAGUAAGGAAUAUUGGUCAAUGGACGCAAGUCUGAACCAGCCAUGCCGCGUGGAGGAUGAAGGUCCUCUGGAUUGUAAACUUCUUUUAUCUGGGAAGAAAUGUGGAUUUUCUAAUCUAUUUGACGGUACCAGAUGAAUAAGCACCGGCUAACUCCGUGCCAGCAGCCGCGGUAAUACGGAGGGUGCAAGCGUUAUCCGGAUUCACUGGGUUUAAAGGGUGCGUAGGCGGAUUUGUAAGUCCGUGGUGAAAUCUCCGAGCUUAACUCGGAAACUGCCAUGGAUACUAUAAGUCUUGAAUGUUGUGGAGGUUUGCGGAAUAUGUCAUGUAGCGGUGAAAUGCU